CAUGCAGGCGGUCGGGCAAGUAGGAUGUGGAAGCCCCGGGCUCAACCUGGGAACUGCAUUCUAAACUGUCCGACUAGAGUAUUGCAGGGGGAGACGGAAUUCCAGGUGUAGCGGUGGAAUGCGUAGAUAUCUGGAAGAACACCAAAGGCGAAGGCAGUCUCCUGGGCAAAUACUGACGCUCAUAUGCGAAAGCGUGGGUAGCAAACA
Molecule: ribosomal RNA, 207 nt
Filed under: uncultured bacterium
Lineage: Bacteria
Description: partial 16S ribosomal RNA
Rfam family: Bacterial small subunit ribosomal RNA
Source: RNAcentral